This 301-nucleotide ribosomal RNA is filed under the name uncultured bacterium. RNAcentral describes it as "partial 16S ribosomal RNA". It matches the Rfam family "Bacterial small subunit ribosomal RNA", at positions 509 to 807 of the family's 1533-position model. The record is from RNAcentral.
CAGCAGCCGCGGUAAUACGGAGGGGGCUAGCGUUGUUCGGAAUUACUGGGCGUAAAGCGCUCGUAGGCGGCUUGGUAAGUUAGAGGUGAAAGCCUGGAGCUCAACUCCAGAAUUGCUUUUAAGACUGCCGAGCUAGCAGGUGAGAGAGGUAAGUGGAAUUCCGAGUGUAGAGGUGAAAUUCGUAGAUAUUCGGAAGAACACCAGUGGCGAAGGCGGCUUACUGGCUCAUACUGGACGCUGAGGUGCGAAAGCGUGGGGAGCAAACAGGAUUAGAGACCCCCGUAGUCCCUGUCUCUUAUAC